This 484-nucleotide ribosomal RNA is filed under the name uncultured bacterium. RNAcentral's name for it is "partial 16S ribosomal RNA". It matches the Rfam family "Bacterial small subunit ribosomal RNA", at positions 30 to 507 of the family's 1533-position model. The record is from RNAcentral.
AUUGAACGCUGGCGGCAGGCCUAACACAUGCAAGUCGAGCGGAUGAAGGGAGCUUGCUCCUGGAUUCAGCGGCGGACGGGUGAGUAAUGCCUAGGAAUCUGCCUGGCAGUGGGGGAUAACGUCCGGAAACGGGCGCUAAUACCGCAUACGUCCUGAGGGAGAAAGUGUGGGAUCUUCGGACCUCACGAUAUCAGAUGAGCCUAGGUCGGAUUAGCUAGUUGGUGGGGUAAAGGCCUACCAAGGCGACGAUCCGUAACUGGUCUGAGAGGGUGAUCAGCCACACUGGAACUGAGACACGGUCCAGACUCCUACGGGAGGCAGCAGUAGGGAAUAUUGGGCAAUGGGCGAAAGCCUGACGCAGCCACGCCGCGUGAGUGAAGAAGGUCUUCGGAUUGUAAAACACUGUUAGUUGGGAAGAAGAACAGUAAGAUUAACUCUUCCCGUUUUGACGGUACCAACAGAAAAAGCCACGGCUAACUUCGUG